This 419-nucleotide ribosomal RNA is filed under the name bacterium. Its description in RNAcentral is "partial 16S ribosomal RNA". It matches the Rfam family "Bacterial small subunit ribosomal RNA", at positions 355 to 776 of the family's 1533-position model. The record is from RNAcentral.
UGGGGGAUAUUGCACAAUGGGCGAAAGCCUGAUGCAGCGACGCCGCGUGGGGGAUGAAGGCCUUCGGGUUGUAAACUUCUUUUGCUCUGAACAAGGCAUGCUAAUGGGUGUGUUGAGUGUAGGGGUUGAUUAGCGCCGGCUAACUACGUGCCAGCAGCCGCGGUAAUACGUAGGGCGCGAGCGUUGUCCGGAAUUAUUGGGGGUAAAGGGCUUGUAGGUGGCUGGUUGCGUCUGUCGUGAAAGCUCAUGGCUUAACUGUGGGUUUGCGGUGGGUACGGGCUGGCUUGAGUGCAGUAGGGGAGGCUGGAAUUCCUGGUGUAGCGGUGGAAUGCGCAGAUAUCAGGAGGAAUACCGGUGGCGAAGGCGGGUCUCUGGGCUGUUACUGACACUGAGGAGCGAAAGCAUGGGGAGCGAACAGG